This 801-nucleotide ribosomal RNA is filed under the name uncultured bacterium. RNAcentral's name for it is "bacterial SSU rRNA". It matches the Rfam family "Bacterial small subunit ribosomal RNA", at positions 8 to 808 of the family's 1533-position model. The record is from RNAcentral.
AGAGUUUGUUCCUGGCUCAGGAUGAACGCUGGCGGCGUGCUUAACACAUGCAAGUCGAGCGAAGCACUUAAGUUUGAUUCUUCGGAUGAAGACUUUUGUGACUGAGCGGCGGACGGGUGAGUAACGCGUGGGCAACCUACCCUGUACAGGGGGAUAACAGUCAGAAAUGACUGCUAAUACCGCAUAAGACCACAGCACCGCAUGGUGCAGGGGUGAAAACUCCGGUGGUACAGGAUGGACCCGCGUCUGAUUAGCUGGUUGGUGAGGUAACGGCUCACCAAGGCGACGAUCAGUAGCCGGCUUGAGAGAGUGAACGGCCACAUUGGGACUGAGACACGGCCCAAACUCCUACGGGAGGCAGCAGUGGGGAAUAUUGCACAAUGGGGGAAACCCUGAUGCAGCGACGCCGCGUGAGUGAAGAAGUAUCUCGGUAUGUAAAGCUCUAUCAGCAGGGAAGAAAAUGACAGUACCUGACUAAGAAGCCCCGGCUAACUACGUGCCAGCAGCCGCGGUAAUACGUAGGGGGCAAGCGUUAUCCGGAAUUACUGGGUGUAAAGGGUGCGUAGGUGGUAUGGCAAGUCAGAAGUGAAAACCCAGGGCUUAACUCUGGGACUGCUUUUGAAACUGUCAGACUGGAGUGCAGGAGAGGUAAGCGGAAUUCCUAGUGUAGCGGUGAAAUGCGUAGAUAUUAGGAGGAACAUCAGUGGCGAAGGCGGCUUACUGGACUGAAACUGACACUGAGGCACGAAAGCGUGGGGAGCAANACAGGAUUAGAUACCCUGGUAGUCCACGCCGUAAACG